GACAGAGGUGCCAAGCGUUAGGCGGAAUCACUGGGCUUAAAGCGUGUGUAGGCGGACUUCUAAGUACCUUGUGAAAUCCCAUGGCUCAACCAUGGAACUGCUUGGUAUACUGGUUGUCUUGAGCCACUUAGGGGCAGUCGGAACAGAUGGUGGAGCGGUGAAAUGCGUAGAUAUCAUCUGGAACGCCAAAGGUGAAACCAGACUGCUGGGAGUGUGCUGACGCUGAGACACGAAAGCUAGGGGAGCGAACGGG
RNAcentral lists this ribosomal RNA (253 nucleotides) under uncultured bacterium. RNAcentral describes it as "partial 16S ribosomal RNA". It matches the Rfam family "Bacterial small subunit ribosomal RNA", at positions 524 to 776 of the family's 1533-position model. The record is from RNAcentral.